RNAcentral lists this ribosomal RNA (465 nucleotides) under Triticum aestivum (bread wheat). RNAcentral describes it as "partial small subunit ribosomal RNA". The record is from RNAcentral. Lineage: Eukaryota; Viridiplantae; Streptophyta; Magnoliopsida; Poales; Poaceae.
AUGGAGCUUGAUCAUCGUGUCAGAUCUGUGAGGCAUGUCUUUGGAGCAUUUGCGUUGCAUCUACUUGGGAUGCAUCCGAUUCGUUCUGCUACACGAAAGCUUAAGAUCAUCGUACAGAGAUCAGAGUUCAAAGAAGAAUGCCCGGUAAAUUGUCCCUGCGAUGAGCCGAAGAGCUGGAGAAGCAAAAAUAUCUCCUUGAUCAAUCUCGAAGAAGUGGAAAUGGAAGGCUUCGAAGGGGAGGACCAUGAGUUUGAUUUGCUGAAAGUGAUAAUCAGAUGCGCACCAACGCUUAAAAGAUUGGCCGUGCAGAUGUCUGAUGAGGGCCAAAGCGCGACAGCCAAAGUUCUGCGCUCGCAUGAUUCUCAUCCUUGUGUUUACGGGUUUACGGUGCUCAUCGACAGGAGGGUCCUCUCCAGCGCAGAAUUUCUCUUGGCGGCGGCUUCGAUGAACAAACUGAGCCGCUGA